This 828-nucleotide ribosomal RNA is filed under the name Triticum aestivum (bread wheat). RNAcentral describes it as "partial small subunit ribosomal RNA". The record is from RNAcentral. Lineage: Eukaryota; Viridiplantae; Streptophyta; Magnoliopsida; Poales; Poaceae.
AUGACGCUCAAACCCCAAGUAGGCGCCAGUAUAGACAUACUGUUGAGUGCCAUCGUCAUCCUCAUCCUCAUCCAUGGCGACGGUUUUGUCUCCCCGAUCCCCAAUCCCCGAAGCUCGGAUCCAGCAGCAGCAUCAGCGAUAGCGGCCGCGAGAGAUCCUCUCCAAGGUCAAGCACGUCCAGGCCAAGCCUGCUGGCCGCCCUCGCGGGUGACUGCCUCCGCGGUGACGACGGCGGCCUCGUCGUCCCCGGAGGCCGCGGCGCCCCUCAAGGCCGACCUCCGCCACGUGAGUGAUCCGUCGAUCUCGUCUCUCCAACAGUGUUCCGGAUGCACGCACGAGUUCGACCUGGACAAGCCGCCGGUGCUGCAGGAGGUGGCGGAUUUCUUCAGUGGCCACGGAAUCGAGGACUUCACCUUCAGCAGGGGUAGGCUGCAAUAUCACAAAACUGAUAGUGAUGUGAAUUUGUUAAGGGAGUACUACAGGUGGAUCAAUCUCCCCCUCCCUCUCACCCCCGUCUCUGUCUCUGCAGGUAGGACAGGAGGAACAGCGACAAGUGACGGGAUGAAGCCCGGCCAUGGAAACCCACCGCAGCCUUCAAGACGUCGACGGCGGUCGGUGCUAUGGUAUGAAUCCUUCCUCCACUUCAAGACCUCUACGUACGACGGUCAGCAGCACGCGCGCGCAUUGCACUCUUCCUCUUGCUCUGUUCUUGGGCUGAUGCUGGCAGCGGUGCAGGGGAUCCUGAUCAACAUGCAGUUCCCGGGGCCGCAGAUCGACGCCGUCACCAACGACAACAUCGUCAUCAACGUCUUCAACAACCUGAUCUGA